CUCAGAUUGAACGCUGGCGGCAGGCUUAACACAUGCAAGUCGAGCGGUAACAGGAAUUAGCUUGCUAAUUUGCUGACGAGCGGCGGACGGGUGAGUAACGCGUAGGAAUCUGCCUAGUAGUGGGGGACAACAUGUGGAAACGCAUGCUAAUACCGCAUACGCCCUACGGGGGAAAGGAGGGGAUCUUCGGACCUUUCGCUAUUAGAUGAGCCUGCGUAAGAUUAGCUAGUUGGUGGGGUAAAGGCUCACCAAGGCGACGAUCUUUAGCUGGUCUGAGAGGAUGAUCAGCCACACUGGGACUGAGACACGGCCCAGACUCCUACGGGAGGCAGCAGUGGGGAAUAUUGGACAAUGGGCGCAAGCCUGAUCCAGCCAUGCCGCGUGUGUGAAGAAGGCCUUCGGGUUGUAAAGCACUUUCAGAAGUGAGGAAGGGUGACUGGCUAAUAUCCAGUUAUCUUGACGUUAGCUUCAGAAGAAU
Molecule: ribosomal RNA, 478 nt
Filed under: uncultured bacterium
Lineage: Bacteria
Description: bacterial SSU rRNA
Rfam family: Bacterial small subunit ribosomal RNA
Source: RNAcentral